GUGCCAGCCGCCGCGGUAAUACCGGCGGCUCGAGUGGUGGCCACUAUUACUGGGCUUAAAGCGUCCGUAGCUUGAUUGUUAAGUCUCUUGGGAAAUCCACCGGCUCAACCGAUGGGCGUUCAGGAGAAACUGGCAAUCUAGGGACCGGGAGAGGUGAGAGGUACUCCAGGGGUAGGAGUGAAAUCCUGUAAUCCUUGGGGGACCACCUGUGGCGAAGGCGUCUCACUAGAACGGCUCCGACAGUGAGGGACGAAAGCUGGGGGAGCAAACCGGAUUAGAUACCCGGGUAGUCCCAGCUGUAAACGAUGCGCGUUAGGUGUAUCGGUGACCACGAGUCAUCGAGGUGCCGAAGGGAAACCGUGAAACGU
This 368-nucleotide ribosomal RNA is filed under the name uncultured archaeon. RNAcentral describes it as "bacterial SSU rRNA". It matches the Rfam family "Archaeal small subunit ribosomal RNA", at positions 455 to 822 of the family's 1478-position model. The record is from RNAcentral.